CAGCUCUUAAAAAAUGUAUGUAUUGUCUCUAAGGUUUUAAAUAUGCCAUCAUAUAUGCCAUCUCUACAGAUAUUUCAGACACUGUAUGGAAUCUUGAAGAACACCAGAAACUAAUGCUAGUGUAAGCGUCACAUCCUGUGACUGUUUCAGGUGGUUAAAUUUAGGUAAGAUUAAACCUAUCUUCAUUCUCGAAUUAAUGAUUUUGUAAGUGGAAUUGAUUUGCUGAGGCGAUCGGCUCCGGGGCAGACGCGUUCUGCAGCAGAGCGGGGGAUCGGGCCAGGCAGGGCUAACUUUCCGGCAUCGAGCUGACUUCAGGGAGCCGCCAGGACCCGGCAGCCCUCGUGAGGGAGGCUGACGAGGCGAAGGCGGAGCCAGCAGCGCCCUCUCCCCGGCCGUUCAAAAGCAGCCCCUAGGGAGCGCGAGCGACACCUCUUAACGACAGUCGUUAGUUAGGUGAUAAUGGUCUCCACAAGGCACGGUGCGCUCUCCGGAGGCUAUACCGGAGACAUUCUGCUCUGAGGUGCCCAGGAGUAAGUCAUUCCACCUACCUCCAUGUGUUUUGGAGAUUGCUUACAUUUGUGCUAGCAUGAAAUGAGUACUCAAAUGCACAGGAUGUUGCGUGCUCUGGAUCUCCACCUGAGACUGCUUUUGAACGCUUUCUGUAUGGAACAUGGGCCAGUCCGACCAUGGGGAAUGCACCUGAAGGGAUUUCAGACUCCUCUGGAGAGACAGAAGUAAAACCUGUAAACAAGACUGCAGAUAUAGAAACAAUGCACAACAGUAGCAAUGUGGUGCAGGAAGAUAGUAAGCCACUAACAGCCUAUCUGAUAGCAUAAAAUACAAUCAAUUCUGACACAAGAAGGUAGGCAGAUAAGAUAGUUACCUUUAAGAUGGUAGAAAUUAGGAGGGAAAAAAAAAAAAAAAGUCAUCCAAAAAAAAGCCUUUUUGUCUUUUCAAACAUGGUCUUAUUAAGCACCUAAGAUUCAUUUCCGAAUUAAAAUUCAUGUCACUUUUGGUAAGUAUUAGAGAGAAUAAACAAAAUAAAACUACAAAAAUAAAGAAGACU
This 1066-nucleotide long non-coding RNA is filed under the name Anas platyrhynchos platyrhynchos (common mallard). RNAcentral describes it as "lncRNA (ENSAPLG00000022906.1)". Lineage: Eukaryota; Metazoa; Chordata; Aves; Anseriformes; Anatidae. The record is from RNAcentral.